GGGUCCAGAAAUUUAUAAAUAUUUCUGGAGGUUAAAAGCUGGAUGGUCGGGCCGCUAUCC
This 60-nucleotide non-coding RNA is filed under the name Deltaproteobacteria bacterium. Its description in RNAcentral is "Li+-I sequence". It matches the Rfam family "nhaA-I RNA". From Rfam's summary of the family: Acidobacteria, Alphaproteobacteria, Betaproteobacteria and Gammaproteobacteria, Verrucomicrobia, cand. division NC10. Downstream gene The record is from RNAcentral. Lineage: Bacteria; Pseudomonadati; Myxococcota; Myxococcia.